This 453-nucleotide ribosomal RNA is filed under the name uncultured bacterium. RNAcentral describes it as "bacterial SSU rRNA". It matches the Rfam family "Bacterial small subunit ribosomal RNA", at positions 340 to 786 of the family's 1533-position model. The record is from RNAcentral.
UACGGAAGGCAGCAGUGGGGAAUAUUGCACAAUGGGCGCAAGCCUGAUGCAGCCAUGCCGCGUGUAUGAAGAAGGCCUUCGGGUUGUAAAGUACUUUCAGUCGUGAGGAAGGUGUUAAGGUUAAUAACCUUAGCAAUUGACGUUAGCGACAGAAGAAGCACCGGCUAACUCCGUGCCAGCAGCCGCGGUAAUACGGAGGGUGCGAGCGUUAAUCGGAAUUACUGGGCGUAAAGGGCACGCAGGCGGUUAAUUAAGUUGGAUGUGAAAUCCCCGGGCUUAACCUGGGAAUAGCAUUCAAGACUGGUUAGCUAGAGUCUUGUAGAGGGGGUAGAAUUCCAUGUGUAGCGGUGAAAUGCGUAGAGAUGUGGAGGAAUACCGGUGGCGAAGGCGGCCCCUGGACAAAGACUGACGCUCAUGUGCGAAAGCGUGGGGAGCAAACAGGGAUUAGAUACC